CCGAAUUACGACGUUUCAACUUAAGACACGGUUUUCAGGAACCAAUUGUGUCGUAAGUCCGAGGACUGCCUGUACUGUUUAAAUCAGGCGUGGGAAAACUGCAGCCCGCAGGCCAGAUGUGGCCUGCCAGACCAUUCUAUCUAGCCCGCGGGGCCCCUAAAAAAUUUAGAUAAUUAAUAUUUAUCUGCCCCUGGAUGCCUGUUAUGCGGCCCUCGAUGGCUUGCCAAAACUCAGUAAGUGGCCCUCCAUCCAAAAUAAUUGCCUGCCCCUGGUUUAAAUGGUUCCCCUCCAGCCCUGAAAUGUAUUAUGAUUGGCAUAACUGAGGAUUGAUUUUGAAAUGCCCAUGCCAUGGCAGCAUCAUCUUCUUCAGAAGUUAGGCAUCUACCGUUAUAUCUGGGGUUGAGAAUGUUCACAAGAAAAUGAGGUGGAGUUAGUACUUGAUCCAUUCACUUCUUUAUUGCCUGCAGUUUAACUUUCUGGUUGGGUAUUUCUUUCUUCGAUGUUUCUUGAAGUGCCUUCCAAAUUUCGACAGCAUCAGCAAUGUAGCAAAAAUCUCUCUGAAGUUUGUUUAAGGCUAUAGAUAUAGGCUUCUGUAUACUGAGCAUAUCCUCUACUUUCCUCUUUAAUUCAAUGUUAGAUACUUUGGGUGCAGUGAUGAUGCGCAGGGGAUGCAUGGGGGUGCACAUGCACCUCUUGAGAGCGCUGGUGCACCCCCUGUCAGGCCACGCUCCCUGUUUAGGUGACAGGCUGGGGGAAGGCUGGAGCACCGGUGCUGCCUCUGCAAGCGCUGGCUGAGAAGUGGGACCACCAGCAGAAGUGGCUGCGCCACUUCCGGAAGUGGCCUUGGGAGUUCUGAAAGCGGUGCAGCUGCUUUUUGGUGACUGAGAUUGGCCCCAGGGGGGAUCCCCCAGUCAGUGAGAUUGGCUGCUGGGGGACCCCCGCCAUGGUUGCUGGCUGGUGUCAAGAGGCACCAGUUGCCUAUUGUACUCUCCCGUGCCAUUCACCCAUGCGCCGUGACUGUAGGGCCUUUUCUGGUUUCACCAUUGCUUAAGGAAGAGGCAGGCUUGUUACUGGGUUAGAUCUUGGAAGGUUCUUCAGGGGGUUUUUCCUGCCAUGUCUUGCUGGAAUAAAUUAUUGUAAUUGGGAGGAAGAUGGUUUGUCCCACCCUUCCUGGUAUCUUCCUUCAAUCUUCCAGAUUAUCUGUCCUACUUGGGGUUCCGCCUCCCCUACACUCCACCCAACAUCAACCAAAAAUGUUGUUUCCGGAUUUCUGGAGUUUGUACAGUAUGAACUCUGGUGUUUUGUCCCUCUGAAUUUAUGAUGGUUGGAUUGGGAUGUUAUCUCAUCUGACUUUUCCCUGACCAUACUUGGUCCUGCCUAAGCAUCUUCCAGACCCCGGGUUACCUUGCUUCCUGGCAUCUCUCUCUCUUUCUUGGCUCAGUACUUGCUGCGGUUCAGACAUCCAUCUCUUCUUGUCCCUUCAGGUCCCACCUGGAUCCAGUAGAGGCUAGAGAUGUCCAACGUCCAUGGUGCUUCUUCAGCAUCUCCCGCCAUGGUUUAACUUUUGCCGUGCUUUUGUUCCUGUGUGUCAUCCCGCUGGCUCCAUUCCUUGCCAGGCUGGGGGAACAGACAUGCCAGCGGCUGCAGGCGAACUUUUAUUGGCCCAGAAUUGCCCAGAAUCUGACAGACUACUGAAGAUCUUGUGAGACAUACCAGAGGACCAGCAAAAGUGGGGACAAGAGAAAGGAUCCCCUACAGCCCCUCCCUAUCAUUGAUCAACCCUUCCAAAGAAGGAUAUUGUGGGCCUACUGAGGCAUAAGACCCAUAGAAGGAAGAAAUACAUCCUGACUCUAGUGGAUUUCGCAACUUGGUACCCAGAGGCAAUUGCCUUGACCUCUGCCAAGGCACCUGUAGUUGCUGAAGCCCUGACCCCAAGAUCUUCUUUCAGCUGGGGUUUCCCUCUGACAUCCUGACUGACAAAGGUGGGAACUUCCUGGCGGAGGUGAUGAAGUGCCUGCGGGAGUGCUGUGGAGUAAAACACCUUAACAUCACAGCCUACCACCCUCAGACAAAUGGGCUUGUAGAAAGGUUCAAUGGUAUGCUAAAGGCCUAUGUGGACCUAACCCCAAUGACUGGGAUGAGAAACUUCCGCAUUUGCUCUUUGCCUACCAUGAAGUACCCCAGGAGUCCACUGGGUUCUCGACAUUCGAGUUGAUGUCCAGAAGGGGAGUUGGGGAUCCUCUCAAUUUGCUGAGAGAAGAGUGGAAAGGGAAAAUCUCUUCCACUAAGACCUCCAUGGUAGAGUACGUGCUCAGCUUUUGUUAGAAGCUAACUGACAUGACAAAGGUGGCACAAGACUCCUUGGCCCAGGCCCAGGAGAAGCAAAAUGUCUGGUAUGAUGAAAAAGCUCGCUUAUGUACCUUUGAAUGAGGUGAUAAGGUCAUGGUUUUCCUGCCACUAAAGACAGACCAGCUGCAAGCAGCUUGGGAAGAUCCCCAUAUCAUCCUGGACAGGCUAGAUGAUGUGACCUAUGUAGUGAUCAGGAGUGGGGCAGACAAAAAGCCUAAGAUAGUACACAUGAACAUGCUUAAACCAUACUUUAAUAGAUGUGAUUUGGUAUUCUGGAUUUCCUCAGUAGAAGGAUCACCUGAUGUACUGGGAUGGAUAGCCAGGAAUAGAGGAACUCCACCUGCCAGAUCAUCUGCCCUUCCAGGACAAGGACAAACUGCUCGCAACACUCAAGGACUUUGAGACAGUGUUCUCUAACAAACCAGGUAACAUGAACCUGGCAGUACACUCUAUAGACACAGGCAGCGAUUGCCCUAUCCAAUCCAGACCAUAUGCAGUUAAUGCGAAGGUGAUGCAAGAAACAAAGCAGGAAAUCGUAGAGAUAAGAGUUAGGUGUAAUCUGGCCUUCAAUGAGUUCCUAGGUCAGCCUGGUGGUACUUGUCCGGAAGCAGGAUGGGUCCAGCCGGUUCUGUGUGGACUACAGGAAGCUGAAUGCUGUUACCACCCCUGACGCUUACCCUUUGCCCAGGACAGCCUCUUUGCUUGGAUCACCUGUGCCCAGCCAAGGUCACCUCUACUCUUGAUCUGUCCAAAGGAUUCUGGCAAAUGGCACUGGAUUCAGAUACCAUAGCCAAAUCUGCCUUUACCACAACUGUGGGACUAUAUGAGUUUACAGUUUUACCUUUCGGUGUGUGCAACUCUCCCACAUCUUUUCAAAGACUGAUUAAUAACCUGUUACAAGAAUGUGAGCAGUUUGCCAUGGCUUACAUUGAUGACAUCCCCAUCUUCAGUCAGGACUUUGAAUUGCACCUGAUUCAUCUGACCACUGUGUUAGGUAGGAUCAAGCAAGCUGGUCUUACCAUAAAAGCCAAAAAGUGCCAGUUGGCACUAUCUGAAGUGGUAUAUUUGGGACAUUGUGUGGGGGGAGGUCAGAUUGCUCCCUUGUGGGACAAGAUUGAGGCUAUUAGAGACUGGCCACCCCCACAAAUCAAGAAGCAAGUCAGAGCCUUCCUUGGCUUGGCUGGAUAUUACAGGCAUUUUGUCCCUGGAUUUGGAGUGAUGACAGCUCCCCUACAUGAGAUGACCAAGAAGAGCAGCCCUGAUCCAGUGGUCUGGAAGCAGGGGUGCCAGGAAGCAUUUGACACCCUACAGGCUGCCCUUAUCAAACCACCAAUUCUGAAUGCACUGGUCUAUGAUAAACCCUUCUAUGUAGCCACUGAUGCCUCUGAUUCAGGAUUAGGAGCUGUACUCUUACAAGAGCACAGAGACAUGGCACCCCACGGUUUACUUAAGCCAGAAGUUAAUCCCUUGGGAGCAGAACCUGUCAUCUAUUGAAAAGGAGUGUUUGGCAAUCAGCUGGGCACUGAACAAGCUGAGGCCCUAUCUGUGGGGGCAGCAGUUCACCAUUAUAUCGGACCAUGCCCCACUUCAGUGAUUGCAGACAAUGGAAAACACCAAUGCCAAGCUUCAACAAUGGGCCUGACAGCUUCAAGACUUCAACUUCACCAUCAAAUACAUCAAGGGAAGCCAGAAUGUGAUAGCAGAUGCCCUGUCACAAAAGGACUCUGGGUAGUGGGUCAGAUGGACUCAGGCACACCUGAGAGAGGUCUGGCAUGGGAGCUCCCCAGUGUGUUUCGAUGUCCUACAUGUAUUUGUUGUGGAAACACAUGCAGCAUACUUUUGGGUCAGGUCAGCAGAAGCUUUUAUUCAAAAGAAACUACAGCUGUAGGGGGGAUUCCAAAGUGACAUGGAUUUCCCAAGCACUUGGAAGGGGUCCCC
This is a long non-coding RNA of Alligator sinensis (Chinese alligator), 4287 nucleotides long. RefSeq lists it as uncharacterized. Lineage: Eukaryota; Metazoa; Chordata; Crocodylia; Alligatoridae. The record is from RefSeq and is a predicted model, not a curated record. The transcript has 3 exons.